UAAGUUUGACAUCAAUAUGGUGACCUCCCGGGAGCGGGGGACCACCAGGUUGCCUAAGGAGGGGUGAACCACCAGCCCAGGUCGGAAACGGAGCAGGUCAAAACUCCCGUGCUGAUCAGUG
Molecule: unclassified non-coding RNA, 121 nt
Organism: Oryctolagus cuniculus (rabbit)
Lineage: Eukaryota; Metazoa; Chordata; Mammalia; Lagomorpha; Leporidae
Rfam family: Metazoan signal recognition particle RNA
About the family: The signal recognition particle (SRP) is a universally conserved ribonucleoprotein. It is involved in the co-translational targeting of proteins to membranes. The eukaryotic SRP consists of a 300-nucleotide 7S RNA and six proteins: SRPs 72, 68, 54, 19, 14, and 9.
Source: Ensembl